GAUGAACGCUGGCGGCGUGCCUAUUACAUGCAAGUCGAGCGAACAGACGAGGAGCUUGCUCCUCUGACGUUAGCGGCGGACGGGUGAGUAACACGUGGAUAACCUACCUAUAAGACUGGGAUAACUUCGGGAAACCGGAGCUAAUACCGGAUAAUAUAUUGAACCGCAUGGUUCAAUAGUGAAAGACGGUUUUGCUAUCACUUAUAGAUGGAUCCGCGCCGCAUUAGCUAGUUGGUAAGGUAACGGCUUACCAAGGCAACGAUGCGUAGCCGACCUGAGAGGGUGAUCGGCCACACUGGAACUGAGACACGGUCCAGACUCCUACGGGAGGCAGCAGUAGGGAAUCUUCCGCAAUGGGCGAAAGCCUGACGGAGCAACGCCGCGUGAGUGAUGAAGGUCUUCGGAUCGUAAAACUCUGUUAUUAGGGAAGAACAAAUGUGUAAGUAACUAUGCACGUCUUGACGGUACCUAAUCAGAAAGCCACGGCCAACUACGUG
This 497-nucleotide ribosomal RNA is filed under the name uncultured bacterium. RNAcentral's name for it is "partial 16S ribosomal RNA". It matches the Rfam family "Bacterial small subunit ribosomal RNA", at positions 28 to 507 of the family's 1533-position model. The record is from RNAcentral.